UACGUAGGUGGCAACCGUUACUCGGAAUCACUGGGCAUAAAGCGCGCGCAGGCGGCUCCGUAAGUCAGGUGUGAAAUCCCUCGACCUAACCGAGGAACUGCGCCUGAUACUGCAGAGCUCGAGGCUGGGAGGGGAGAGUGGAAUUCCCGGUGGAGCGGUGAAAUGCGUUGAUAUCGGGAGGAACGCCGGUGGCGAAAGCGGCUCUCUGGUCCAGUUCUGACGCUGAGGCGCGAAAGCUAGGGGAGCAAACGGGAUUAGAAACCCCUGUAGU
This 271-nucleotide ribosomal RNA is filed under the name uncultured bacterium. RNAcentral describes it as "partial 16S ribosomal RNA". It matches the Rfam family "Bacterial small subunit ribosomal RNA", at positions 524 to 794 of the family's 1533-position model. The record is from RNAcentral.